Molecule: unclassified non-coding RNA, 337 nt
Filed under: soil metagenome
Description: partial contains 5.8S ribosomal RNA, internal transcribed spacer 2, and large subunit ribosomal RNA
Rfam family: 5.8S ribosomal RNA (bases 1-120)
Source: RNAcentral
GAUGAAGAACGUAGCGAAAUGCGAUAAGUAAUGUGAAUUGCAGAAUUCAGUGAAUCAUCGAAUCUUUGAACGCACAUUGCGCCCGCCAGCACUCUGGCGGGCAUGCCUGUUCGAGCGUCAUUUCAACCAUCAAGCCCCCAGGGGCUUGUGCUGGGGCCCUGCGGCUGCCGCAGGCCCCUAAAAGCAGUGGCGGGCUCGCUAUCACACCGAGUGCAGUAGAUUACUCUUCGCUCAGGGCGUGUGGCGGGUUCCAGCCGUGAAACCCCCUACUUCUCAAGGUUGACCUCGGAUCAGGUAGGAAUACCCGCUGAACUUAAGCAUAUCAAUAAGCGGAGGA